CCCUUAGAUGAUUUGGGCUGCACGCGCGCUACACUGACCCUAGCAAUGAGCAACUGUCUGGCCUGAGAUGGCUGGGUAGCCUUUUCAACCCAUGUCAUGAUUGGGCUAGAUUUUUGUAAGUCUUGAUCUCUAACGAGGAAUCCCUAGUAUGCGUGAAUCAUCAAUCCAUGCAGAUUAUGUCCCUGCCCUUUGUACACACCGCCCGUCGCUCCUACUGAUUGGGUGAUCCGGUGAGCUGUUCGGCCAUAGCAAUGUUUCUUGAGCAGGGCAAUGAAUGUUUCGCAAACCUUGCCACUUAGAGGAAGGAGAAGUCGUAACA
RNAcentral lists this ribosomal RNA (319 nucleotides) under uncultured eukaryote. RNAcentral describes it as "partial 18S ribosomal RNA". It matches the Rfam family "Eukaryotic small subunit ribosomal RNA", at positions 1470 to 1796 of the family's 1831-position model. The record is from RNAcentral.